RNAcentral lists this unclassified non-coding RNA (83 nucleotides) under Rhizobium sp. RU20A. RNAcentral describes it as "suhB". The stretch from base 1 to 74 matches the Rfam family "Alphaproteobacterial ar15", at positions 44 to 112 of the family's 112-position model. Lineage: Bacteria; Pseudomonadati; Pseudomonadota; Alphaproteobacteria; Hyphomicrobiales; Rhizobiaceae. The record is from RNAcentral.
AGCUGUUCCCCUCUGGAGGUUUAGAUACCUUCAUAACUUACAAGGGCCCAAGUUUUUACUUGUGGCCCUCUUUUUUUGCCCAU